RNAcentral lists this long non-coding RNA (1346 nucleotides) under Citrus sinensis (sweet orange). RNAcentral describes it as "long non-coding RNA (CSIN_LNC001986)". The record is from RNAcentral. Lineage: Eukaryota; Viridiplantae; Streptophyta; Magnoliopsida; Sapindales; Rutaceae.
UAUCUUGCAGUUUUGCUUAAUUUGUUUCUGUUAAAUGAUACAUGAAUUCUCUUUAGCUAUGUGUGUGUUUUUGGUUGCCGACUUGGUAAUAACUAUAGUCAAUGCAUUUUUGUUUGUCUUCUCAUUUGUUAUUUCUCUCUCUCUCUUUUUUAAAAAAUGGUCUUUAAUACUUUAAGAGCAUAUAUGCUGUGAACAGAAGUUAAUCUGAGGGAAACCUAUUUUAGUGAACUUCUAUCCCUUUUUUUUUUGAGACUAUUCAAGUUAAUUUGAUAGGCCUCUUAAAUAUUCUUGCUACUAUAUAAGUGAAUUGGUGUUGCAAAGGCCUGAUGAUUGUUGAACAAGAACGGAGAUUUGAAAUAUGUUCAUGUUGCAGCCUGAUUCCAAAAAUUGAGCUCCAUGAACAUGUUAUGUAAUAAACAUUUCUAUUUGAAAUAUGAAGGCCAGGGUAAAUAUUAUUUUUGAUUAUUAAUUUUUGUGGUUUCAAAACCCUGGUGGACCAACUUGUUUAAUUUCAUUUUUUGUUUGUUUUUGAUCUGUAUAAUUUAGUUUGUUAUUUCCUGGUUCCUUUGAGUGUUCACAUUUAACAAUCAGAGAUGAACCUACUAAGCAUGAGAUGGGAAUAAUUGGAGCCUUAAACCUCAAGAAUGAGGUGAAGAGUCUACAUUGAAUCUUCAGCUUAUUUUGUUCUUGUUCAUGAUUCUGACCUAACAUGAAAGUUUUAACUAACACAGAAUUUUGUAAUUAUAUCCUUUUUCUUAGUCUUUAGUAAAUUUUUAAUGAUUUAGCGCAUUGUCGCCCCCGGGUGUGGCAAGCGGAGCUGUAAAUUUUCAUAUGGUUCUUUGCACUCCCUUUCUUAUUUUGCAAGUACUAAGCUAAUUUUUUUCAUGCGUUCAGCCACAUUUUAUUUAGCAUCCAACUCUAUCUUACAUUUAAUUUGUUUAUAAAUAAAAAGGGGUGCAAGGGUUUACAUGAAAAUUCAUAUUGUGCCAUAACAAGGUGAUAUGAUAGUAUUGAUACAGCUGUUGCAUCAUAGCCGGAGCUGGACGGAUGGACCCUUGAAUAAUGCUUUAGGAUUGUUACUGGCCGGAUCUUGAAGUCUAAAAUGUAAUUAAACUUCUGUUUGUAUCUUUAAAUAAGAAAAUGAGUCAUGAGUGUAAUCUCAUCUCUUCCUCGGGCAUUUGUAUUAAUAUUUCUAUUUCUUUUAAAAUUGUUUCUUUUAGACAUUUAUGUUACCGAUGUAACUAAUAUGGAUAUCAAAUAUUCAAUUAUGUAUGGAUAAUAACCAUCUAAGUACAAAUCUAUAAUUAUUCAUGAUGGGUAUAUCCAUAUUCAACAUUUAAUACUGG